UACGAAGGGUGCGAGCGUUAAUCGGAAUUACUGGGCGUAAAGCGCGCGUAGGUGGUUAAGUAAGCGAUCUGUGAAAGCCCCGGGCUUAACCUGGGAACUGCAGGUCGAACUGCUUGGCUAGAGUAUGGUAGAGGGGUGUGGAAUUUCCUGUGUAGCGGUGAAAUGCGUAGAUAUAGGAAGGAACAUCAGUGGCGAAGGCGACACCCUGGACCGAUACUGACACUGAGGCGCGAAAGCGUGGGUAGCGAACAGGAUUAGAUACCCUGGUAGUCCACGCCGUAAACGAUGUCUGCUAGCCGUUGGGGGGCUUGUCCCUUCAGUGGCGGAGCUAACGCGAUAAGCAGACCGCCUGGGGAGUACGGCCGCAAGGUUAAA
RNAcentral lists this ribosomal RNA (375 nucleotides) under uncultured bacterium. RNAcentral's name for it is "bacterial SSU rRNA". It matches the Rfam family "Bacterial small subunit ribosomal RNA", at positions 524 to 898 of the family's 1533-position model. The record is from RNAcentral.